GCAAAUCUGGAAACUACCGUUUGGAUCCAAAAAUAGAUGUCUGAGAUUUGUCCAUGUAAUCUGCGAGUAAAAUUUUACUCAUAUUGAGCUCAGUAACAUAUUUGCUUGGUGACGUGACAAAUUCCAGAUAUUAAUUUUUUUAUCCAGCGGUAGUUUUCAUAUUUGU
Molecule: microRNA precursor, 166 nt
Filed under: Leersia perrieri
Lineage: Eukaryota; Viridiplantae; Streptophyta; Magnoliopsida; Poales; Poaceae
Description: pre miRNA MIR811
Source: RNAcentral